RNAcentral lists this ribosomal RNA (429 nucleotides) under Gemmatimonadota bacterium. Its description in RNAcentral is "Gemmatimonadetes bacterium partial 16S ribosomal RNA". It matches the Rfam family "Bacterial small subunit ribosomal RNA", at positions 355 to 776 of the family's 1533-position model. The record is from RNAcentral. Lineage: Bacteria; Pseudomonadati; Gemmatimonadota.
UAGGGAAUCUUCGGCAAUGGACGAAAGUCUGACCGAGCAACGCCGCGUGAGUGAAGAAGGUUUUCGGAUCGUAAAACUCUGUUGUUAGAGAAGAACAAGGACGUUAGUAACUGAACGUCCCCUGACGGUAUCUCACCAGAAAGCCCCGGCUACCUACGUGCCAGCAGCCGCGGUAAUACGUAGGUGGCAAGCGUUGUCCGGAUCUAUUGGGCGUAAAGCGAGCGCAGGCGGUUUCUUAAGUCUGAUGUGAAAGCCCCCGGCUCAACCGGGGAGGGUCAUUGGAAACUGGGAGACUUGAGUGCAGAAGAGGAGAGUGGAAUUCCAUGUGUAGCGGUGAAAUGCGUAGAUAUAUGGAGGAACACCAGUGGCGAAGGCGGCUGUCUGGUCUGUAACUGACGCUGAGGCUCGAAAGCGUGGGGAGCAAACAGG